This 628-nucleotide long non-coding RNA is filed under the name Nicotiana benthamiana. RNAcentral describes it as "long non-coding RNA (NBEN_LNC018104)". Lineage: Eukaryota; Viridiplantae; Streptophyta; Magnoliopsida; Solanales; Solanaceae. The record is from RNAcentral.
ACUUUAUUAUUACUACUACUCCAUUAAACAAAACAACAGUUCAAAUUUGACGAAACAAAAUCAUUGAAUCCACCAGCUAGUCUCUCUUCCUCCCAAUACAACACAUCAAAUAAAAGAGUUUACUCAGCAACUGCAGAAUUAAAAAGAAAAGGAACCAGCCUCUGAGCUUCUCUCACACACACUCAACUGACUGACAAACUCUUUAAUGCCACCAUCAGUCUCCUCUUCUUCUAUUCCAAAAACUGUCCUCCACCUUCUAACCAAAACACCAAAAGUUUCUCUCUUUAGUGGUUUCUUUGCUUUGUGGUGAAGGUGUUACAUUCUAGCAGUAGAAUUUACAACUUAACAAAGCACCCCUUUUUCUUCCUGUAUAUCUCCAAGCAGUGAGAAUGUUUCCUUUUUCUCUUUACCUAUUUCAGUAAACAUUCUUCUUUAAGCUUUCUGUUUGCUGGAUUUUGUUUCUUUUCUGUCACAUAUGCAAUUUGCAUUUCAUUUCCUCACACCCUCUUUUCAUUUCUUGAUUUUAUUACAACUCAACUGUCGGUUCUUUUGUUUUGGUUGUUGGUGGAGAUUUUUAUUUGAAAAUGUUACUGCAUAUAUUAAUCACAAACUCAAUGCAUGACCCGAC